Molecule: long non-coding RNA, 121 nt
Organism: Cucurbita maxima (winter squash)
Lineage: Eukaryota; Viridiplantae; Streptophyta; Magnoliopsida; Cucurbitales; Cucurbitaceae
Exons: 2
Source: RefSeq, a predicted model, not a curated record
GUGUGCUAGGGAGGACGCUGGACCCCCAAGGGGGUGGAUUCUGAGAUCACACAUCGAUUGGAGAGGGGGAACGAAACAUUCCUUAUAAGGGUGUGGAAAUCUCCACCUAGCAGACGUGUUU